RNAcentral lists this long non-coding RNA (611 nucleotides) under Daucus carota (carrot). RNAcentral's name for it is "long non-coding RNA (DCAR_LNC005300)". The record is from RNAcentral. Lineage: Eukaryota; Viridiplantae; Streptophyta; Magnoliopsida; Apiales; Apiaceae.
AGUGGCGGAUGCACGUAGAGGCAAGUGAGGGCACUGGACCCCACUAGAUUUUAUAGUUUUUUAAUAUUAAUAUAUAUACAUACAUUAACAUAGCUGGCUGAUAUUCUACAAUCCACCUUCAAUCUUCUUCUUUGCUUAACGUUAUCAUCAAUUGCUUCUUGGUUGUUCAUUAUAUUUCUUUAUUUUCUUUCUCUCCAAAAAGUAGAACAUGUAUGUUUUCCAUCUUUUUCUUCGACAUCGAUCUCGAAAUUUAACAUGCAUGGAUAUUUGAAUUCAUAUGUGGAAUGGUUGCUUCUUUUCUAUGCUAUUUGAUAUUUAAAUAGUUGAAUUUAUUAUUGUUCUUGUUCUCCAAUUACGUAAUAUUAUGUUCUUUUCUGAAUAGAAGUAUAAAACUAAAUUUUUGGAUGAGCUAAAUUAUCAAAUCACUUACUAAUAUAACAAAUUAAGUUAACUUUGAUAUUGCCCGUUGCAAUAGUCAAUAUUGAAAGAGUUUUUUCAGCUAUGAAUCUUAUUAAAAGUAUACUUUGAAAUAUAACCAGAGAUGCUUGAUUAUAAACUAUCAUCCUCCAUAAUAUCUUAAAAAAAAUUUGGCCCCCAUUAAAGUUUAUGGC